RNAcentral lists this ribosomal RNA (253 nucleotides) under uncultured bacterium. RNAcentral describes it as "partial 16S ribosomal RNA". It matches the Rfam family "Bacterial small subunit ribosomal RNA", at positions 524 to 776 of the family's 1533-position model. The record is from RNAcentral.
UACGAAGGGGGCUAGCGUUGCUCGGAAUCACUGGGCGCAAAGCGCACGUAGGCGGAUCUUUAAGUCAGGGGUGAAAUCCUGGAGCUCAACUCCAGAACUGCCUUUGAUACUGGGGAUCUCGAGUCCGGAAGAGGUGAGUGGAACUCCGAGUGUAGAGGUGAAAUUCGUAGAUAUUCGGAAGAACACCAGUGGCGAAGGCGGCUCACUGGUCCGGUACUGACGCUGAGGUGCGAAAGCGUGGGGAGCAAACAGG